Molecule: unclassified non-coding RNA, 353 nt
Filed under: soil metagenome
Description: partial contains 5.8S ribosomal RNA, internal transcribed spacer 2, and large subunit ribosomal RNA
Rfam family: 5.8S ribosomal RNA (bases 1-120)
Source: RNAcentral
GAUGAAGAACGUAGUGAAAUGCGAUAAGUAAUGUGAAUUGCAGAAUUCAGUGAAUCAUCGAAUCUUUGAACGCACAUUGCGCCCGCCAGUAUUCUGGCGGGCAUGCCUGUUCGAGCGUCAUUACAACCCUCAGGCCCCCGGGCCUGGCGUUGGGGAUCGGCGGAAGCCCCCUGCGGGCACAACGCCGUCCCCCAAAUUCAGUGGCGGUCCCGCCGCAGCUUCCAUUGCGUAGUAGCUAACACCUCGCAACUGGAGAGCGGCGCGGCCACGCCGUAAAACACCCAACUUCUGAAUGUUGACCUCGAAUCAGGUAGGAAUACCCGCUGAACUUAAGCAUAUCAAUAAGCGGAGGA